UUUUGAAUUGAGAGACACUCUCAUGGGCAAAUAUGGGGAAGACUCAAAAUUGAUUUAUGAUCUUGUUGACCAGGGAGGAGAGCUUUCCUCACUGCGAUAUGAUUUCACUGUUCCAUUUGCUAGGUAUGUUGCUAUGAAUGGCAUCACAUCCUUUAAAAGGUACCAGAUUUUGAGGCUAUCUAUAUGCUAACAGAACUUCUUGAUGAGCUAAAUAUUGGAGACUAUGAGUUGCAGCCCAUCAUUGUUAAAGAUCAUGACCCUCCCCUACCUUAGGUAUGAGACUUAUUUUUGCUAUUUCAUUCAUAAAUAUAAAUUUCCAGAGUUUCAGAAAUUCUCAUGUUCCAUCUAUCUGAAUUGAAUUGCAGGGAUAUUACCACCACAUUUCCAAGUUUUGUAUUUAAUUCAGAGGUUGAUGAGAUUGCUACGUGAGAUACAAUAGCUUAGAUUGCAGUUAGAGUUCAAUUGUCAGAAAUUUGGACGAACCUUACAUGAAAUAUGGUUAAAGACAAGAGGCUAGAAG
Molecule: long non-coding RNA, 520 nt
Organism: Rosa chinensis
Lineage: Eukaryota; Viridiplantae; Streptophyta; Magnoliopsida; Rosales; Rosaceae
Exons: 4
Source: RefSeq, a predicted model, not a curated record